This 253-nucleotide ribosomal RNA is filed under the name uncultured bacterium. RNAcentral describes it as "partial 16S ribosomal RNA". It matches the Rfam family "Bacterial small subunit ribosomal RNA", at positions 524 to 776 of the family's 1533-position model. The record is from RNAcentral.
UACGUAGGGUGCAAGCGUUGUCCGGAAUUAUUGGGCGUAAAGAGCUUGUAGGUGGUUUGUCGCGUUGUUCGUGAAAUCUCACGGCUUAACUGUGAGCGUGCGGGCGAUACGGGCAGACUAGAGUACUGCAGGGGAGACUGGAAUUCCUGGUGUAGCGGUGAAAUGCGCAGAUAUCAGGAGGAACACCGGUGGCGAAGGCGGGUCUCUGGGCCGUAACUGACGCUGAGGAGCGAAAGCGUGGGGAGCGAACAGG